ACGAACGCUGGCGGCGUGCUUCACACAUGCAAGUCGAACGGAAAGGCCCUGCUUGCCGGGUACUCGAGUGGCGAACGGGUGAGUAACACGUGGGUGAUCUGCCCUGCACUUCGGGAUAAGCCUGGGAAACUGGGUCUAAUACCGGAUAGGAGCCAUUUUUAGUGUGAUGGUUGGAAAGUUUUUUCGGUGUAGGAUGAGCUCGCGGCCUAUCAGCUUGUUGGUGGGGUAAUGGCCUACCAAGGCGGCGACGGGUAGCCGGCCUGAGAGGGUGGACGGCCACAUUGGGACUGAGAUACGGCCCAGACUCCUACGGGAGGCAGCAGUGGGGAAUAUUGCACAAUGGGCGCAAGCCUGAUGCAGCGACGCCGCGUGGGGGAUGACGGCCUUCGGGUUGUAAACUCCUUUCGCUAGGGACGAAGCUUUUGUGACGGUACCUAGAUAAGAAGCACCGGCUAACUACGUG
RNAcentral lists this ribosomal RNA (463 nucleotides) under uncultured bacterium. RNAcentral's name for it is "partial 16S ribosomal RNA". It matches the Rfam family "Bacterial small subunit ribosomal RNA", at positions 29 to 507 of the family's 1533-position model. The record is from RNAcentral.